Molecule: RNase P RNA, 292 nt
Filed under: Melipona bicolor
Lineage: Eukaryota; Metazoa; Arthropoda; Insecta; Hymenoptera; Apidae
Also listed under: 1 other name
Description: Nuclear RNase P
Rfam family: Nuclear RNase P
About the family: Ribonuclease P (RNase P) is a ubiquitous endoribonuclease, found in archaea, bacteria and eukarya as well as chloroplasts and mitochondria. Its best characterised activity is the generation of mature 5'-ends of tRNAs by cleaving the 5'-leader elements of precursor-tRNAs.
Source: Rfam by way of RNAcentral
GCAGCUUCAAUCUAGCGGGAGGGGUGUACAGGCAAGGUACAUGUAGUUACCACAGUUUCACCUCGGGAAGGUCUGAGAUUAAGUCAAUAAACGUUCUAGCCGGACGGUAUCAUAAGGGUACGUACGGGAAUCAGAAAUAGCUUUUUGUUACCAAUUAGCCCAGGAAACUUCGUACGAAGUAGAGGUAUUUGGGAACGAAAAGAUGGAAACCCGUAUGAUUCGCUAUUUGAGUACAAUCCGCAAGCCAAAAGAUUUACAUUUUGGAACUCAAUUCAGACUAAUCUGAAGCUGC